RNAcentral lists this ribosomal RNA (162 nucleotides) under Senecio nanus. Its description in RNAcentral is "5.8S ribosomal RNA". It matches the Rfam family "5.8S ribosomal RNA". From Rfam's summary of the family: 5.8S ribosomal RNA (5.8S rRNA) is a component of the large subunit of the eukaryotic ribosome. The record is from RNAcentral. Lineage: Eukaryota; Viridiplantae; Streptophyta; Magnoliopsida; Asterales; Asteraceae. RNAcentral also lists the same sequence under 1 other name.
AACGACUCUCGGCAACGGAUAUCUCGGCUCACGCAUCGAUGAAGAACGUAGCAAAAUGCGAUACUUGGUGUGAAUUGCAGAAUCCCGUGAACCAUCGAGUUUUUGAACGCAAGUUGCGCCCAAAGCCUUUUGGCCGAGGGCACGUCUGCCUGGGCGUCACAC